UACAGAGGUCUCAAGCGUUGUUCGGAUUCAUUGGGCGUAAAGGGUGCGUAGGUGGCGCCGUAAGUCGGGUGUGAAAUUUCGGAGCUUAACUCCGAAACUGCAUUCGAUACUGCGGUGCUUGAGGACUGGAGAGGAGACUGGAAUUCAUGGUGUAGCAGUGAAAUGCGUAGAGAUCAUGAGGAAGACCAGAGGCGAAGGCGGGUCUCUGGACAGUUCCUGACACUGAGGCACGAAGGCCAGGGGAGCAAACGGG
RNAcentral lists this ribosomal RNA (253 nucleotides) under uncultured bacterium. RNAcentral describes it as "partial 16S ribosomal RNA". It matches the Rfam family "Bacterial small subunit ribosomal RNA", at positions 524 to 776 of the family's 1533-position model. The record is from RNAcentral.